GUUGGAGGCACAGAGAGGUGAUGCAUGGGACAGAAAUCCCCCAUUGUCAGUGAGUACUGUGACCAGGCACUGAUGCACAGUGCUGAUAGUGGCUGCCCAGGAAGUUAUUGCAGGGUUUUAAUGUGGUAGGACACAUCUCUUGAUCCCAAAAGCCUGCAGGAUUUGGAGAAGAGAAGGCUCCGGGGAGACCUCAUUGUGGCCUCCCAAUACCUUGAAGGGAGUGUAUGAACAGGAGGGGAACAGCUGUUUAUGAGGGUGGGUAGCGAUAGGACAAGGGGGAAUGGUUUUAAACUGAGACAGGGGAGGUUUAGGUUGGAGAUGAGGAGGAAGUUUUUCCCCCAGAGGGUGGUGACGCACUGAACAGGUUGCCCAAGGAGGCUGUGGAUGCCCCAUCCCUGCAGGCAUUCAAGGCCAGGCUGGAUGUGGCUCUGGGCAGCCUGGGCUGCUGGUUGG
This 453-nucleotide long non-coding RNA is filed under the name Gallus gallus (chicken). RNAcentral describes it as "lncRNA (ENSGALG00010020289.1)". The record is from RNAcentral. Lineage: Eukaryota; Metazoa; Chordata; Aves; Galliformes; Phasianidae.